GUGGGGAAUCUUGCACAAUGGGGGAAACCCUGAUGCAGCGACGCCGCGUGAGCGAUGAAGCCCUUCGGGGUGUAAAGCUCUUUCGGCAGGGAAGAUUAUGACGGUACCUGCAAAAGCAGCUGCGGCUAACUACGUGCCAGCAGCCGCGGUAAUACGUAGGCAGCAAGCGUUGUUCGGAAUUACUGGGCGUAAAGGGUGCGUAGGCGGUUUUGCAAGUUUGGUGUGAAAUCUCCCGGCUUAACUGGGAGGGUGCGCCGAAAACUGCAAGGCUAGAGUGCGGGAGAGGAGAGUGGAAUUCCUGGUGUAGCGGUGAAAUGCGUAGAUAUCAGGAGGAACACCUGUGGUGUAGACGGCUCUCUGGACCGCAACUGACGCUGAUGCACGAAAGCGUGGGGAGCAAACAGGAUUAGAUACCCCGGUAGUCC
This 425-nucleotide ribosomal RNA is filed under the name uncultured bacterium. RNAcentral describes it as "bacterial SSU rRNA". It matches the Rfam family "Bacterial small subunit ribosomal RNA", at positions 354 to 796 of the family's 1533-position model. The record is from RNAcentral.